Molecule: ribosomal RNA, 537 nt
Filed under: Leptodactylus luctator
Lineage: Eukaryota; Metazoa; Chordata; Amphibia; Anura; Leptodactylidae
Description: partial 16S ribosomal RNA
Rfam family: Bacterial large subunit ribosomal RNA
Source: RNAcentral
CCAGUGACUUUGUUCAACGGCCGCGGUAUCCUAACCGUGCGAAGGUAGCGUAAUCACUUGUUCUUUAAAUGAGGACUAGUAUGAAUGGCACCACGAAGGUUAUACUGUCUCCUUUCUUUAAUCAGUGAAACUAAUCUCUCCGUGAAGAAGCGGGGAUAUAAUUAUAAGACGAGAAGACCCUAUGGAGCUUUAAACGUGAGUAACAAUUGCCCGCCAUAAUAUUUUUCCCCGGAAACUAACCGCAAUACUUAGGCAUCUUGAUUACAAGUUUUAGGUUGGGGUGACCGCGGAGCAGAAAAUAACCUCCGCAGUGAAUGGAACUUACUUCCUAAACCCAGGGCUACGACCCUAAGCAUCAAUAAAUUGACACUAAUUGACCCAAUAUUUUUGAUCAAUGAACCAAGUUACCCUAGGGAUAACAGCGCAAUCCACUUCAAGAGCCCCUAUCGACAGGUGGGUUUACGACCUCGAUGUUGGAUCAGGGUAUCCCAGUGGUGCAGCCGCUACUAAAGGUUCGUUUGUUCAACGAUUAAAACC